CUUGUCAACCUGACAAGGUGGCAGUGAGAGCCAGGACACAAUCAGUCUCUCCGUCACUGGUAAAGUCAUAAACCACAGGGACUGUUUUUCAAAUAUUGCUCCAGUUCACCUUCUUUGCCCUUGAAGGCUUCUGGAAGGCUCUCCAGGAAGCUGUGACCUAGCAUUCCACUUGUACGUAUUUGUUGAGAAGCUUCUGUCAAUCAAAGGCAUAAAAUGGGAGGGACCCUGUUAAAGGAGGUUUUUCUGCUCUCUGGGAAAGAACUCUCUCAGACCUCGGCAGGGAGCUGAGAGAUGGAGGAGAACUUUCUGGAGAGGUUUUCUCUUCCCUCACGCAGCAGAGCAUGUCCUCACAGCACGCCAAGGACUCCUCAUGGGAUGUUAAGGAGAAAAAGCAAUCAAUCAGUCAAGGAACGGAAAGCACAAGAUGAGAUUCACCUGCAGUCCAAAUCCACCCCAGCUUUGGCCCAGUGCGGCAGGGCCUCGCCUGGCCAAGGCCCUUCUCAGCCCAGAGAGCUGAGCUCAUCCUGCUGCGAGGAGCCGCCUGCGAAUCCCUGUGGCAAUCACACUUAUCCGUUUCUCAUGUUUAAUGCAAGCAGGCUCCUGAGACAGCGAAGCUCUCAAGAUACCGCCUAAGAUACGCGAUGCUGCCCUUUGCAGGGCAAACACGAGCGUCCAAAGCCGACGUGGGUUCCCCUACUUUACAGUAAUUGUGUUCUCAUCUGCACAGAUGUAAGCAAACCGAUUCUGUCAGAAGCAGAGAAAAAUCCAUACACAAGGGCCUCCGUGUCCUAGAGAGGUUUGGAUUACCUCCGUUUUCUGAGUCCCUUGGUAAUUUCAAAAUGAAGAAAUGCCAAUAUAGGUUAGGUUAUAAAAAUUGUAGUUCAUUGAAAUGUUUAUCAUUAACAAGUUGAUGUUUUAACACAAAAGAGUUAAUGCAAUAUAAUUGUUCUAGCUUCAAGCUAAUCACAGGGCUCAUACAAAGUGGUCAUUCAUAGGGCACUGAAGUAAUGGGACAAGGUGUAAAGCUGUAUUUUGAAUAAAUUCUUUCAAACCUGUCAGUAUAUGACUCC
Molecule: long non-coding RNA, 1070 nt
Filed under: Ictidomys tridecemlineatus (thirteen-lined ground squirrel)
Lineage: Eukaryota; Metazoa; Chordata; Mammalia; Rodentia; Sciuridae
Description: lncRNA (ENSSTOG00000034546.1)
Source: RNAcentral